Long non-coding RNA from Rhipicephalus microplus (southern cattle tick), 790 nucleotides. RefSeq lists it as uncharacterized. The record is from RefSeq and is a predicted model, not a curated record. Lineage: Eukaryota; Metazoa; Arthropoda; Arachnida; Ixodida; Ixodidae.
CGUUCGAUGAAGUAAAACUUUCAGAAAACAUCAGUGCAAAACCAUCUGGCGAGCUCACUGGCUUUGUGGACCUUGCUUCAUUUACGGAAGAUUCUACGAAGUCUACAACAAGUGACCAUGGCCUUGUCGUCAUGUUCCAGCCAUUUCAAGGAAAAUGGACCAAAAUAUUGGGUGUAUUUGCUACCCAUGAAAAUGUUAAAGUUCCUGUACUGUCCAAAAUUUUGCUGGAGGCCACGCUACUAGCUGAAAGGCUGGGCUCUUCACCGACUUUUGGGUCAGUGAUGGUGCUUCUUGGAAUCGCUCCCUCUGGAAACGAUUUGGCAUCAUAGCUUCAUCGUGGGAAAUGAAGUGCGAGGUUCCUCAUCCCGUAGACGGAGCAAGAAGCCUACACUUCAUUUCUGAUUUUCCGCACAUUGUCAAAUGCAUACGGAAUGCAUUUGUCUCUAAGGGACUCCAGAUUCCAAAUGGCAAUGCACUUGUUGGCGUUAUAAAAGAAGCAUGGAAAUUAGACGAGGACGCAUUGACAUUGAAAGUCAUGCCACACUUGACAUUAGUCCAUUUGCAGCCAAUUUUGUUUUUAUAAAAUGCGUUUACAUUUAGAAUUUCAGCUGUUCAGUGAAAAAGUAUUGAAAGGGCUUUUUUUUUACGAAGACAAGUUGGACAAGGCUUAUCGUUCAUUUCAACCAACAGAGCAAUUCGUGCAACUUAUGGAACGAUUAAUUUUUGUGAUGACAUCUUGAAUACCCUCAAAGGGACCUAGGGAGAAGUCCAAGAGUGCGGCAUUUAUUGA